Molecule: non-coding RNA, 904 nt
Filed under: Salinivibrio sp. KP-1
Lineage: Bacteria; Pseudomonadati; Pseudomonadota; Gammaproteobacteria; Vibrionales; Vibrionaceae
Description: Bacterial small subunit ribosomal RNA
Rfam family: Bacterial small subunit ribosomal RNA
Source: Rfam by way of RNAcentral
AAAUUGAAGAGUUUGAUCAUGGCUCAGAUUGAACGCUGGCGGCAGGCCUAACACAUGCAAGUCGAGCGGAAACGGCAGUAUUGAAGCUUCGGUGGAUUUACUGGACGUCGAGCGGCGGACGGGUGAGUAACGGCUGGGAACCUGCCCUGACGAGGGGGAUAACCGUUGGAAACGACGGCUAAUACCGCAUAAUGUCUACGGACCAAAGGUGGCCUCUACAUGUAAGCUAUCGCGUUGGGAUGGGCCCAGUUAGGAUUAGCUAGUUGGUAAGGUAAAGGCUUACCAAGGCGACGAUCCUUAGCUGGUUUGAGAGGAUGAUCAGCCACACUGGGACUGAGACACGGCCCAGACUCCUACGGGAGGCAGCAGUGGGGAAUAUUGCACAAUGGGGGAGACCCUGAUGCAGCCAUGCCGCGUGUGUGAAGAAGGCCUUCGGGUUGUAAAGCACUUUCAGCAGUGAGGAAGGUGGUGUACUUAAUAAGUGCAUGGCUUGACGUUAGCUGCAGAAGAAGCACCGGCUAACUCCGUGCCAGCAGCCGCGGUAAUACGGAGGGUGCGAGCGUUAAUCGGAAUUACUGGGCGUAAAGCGCAUGCAGGCGGUUUGUUAAGUCAGAUGUGAAAGCCCGGGGCUCAACCUCGGAACCGCAUUUGAAACUGGCAGGCUAGAGUCUUGUAGAGGGGGGUAGAAUUUCAGGUGUAGCGGUGAAAUGCGUAGAGAUCUGAAGGAAUACCAGUGGCGAAGGCGGCCCCCUGGACAAAGACUGACGCUCAGAUGCGAAAGCGUGGGUAGCAAACAGGAUUAGAUACCCUGGUAGUCCACGCCGUAAACGCUGUCUACUUGGAGGUUGAGGUUUAGACUUUGGCUUUCGGCGCUAACGCAUUAAGUAGACCGCCUGGGGAGUAC